Molecule: ribosomal RNA, 490 nt
Filed under: uncultured bacterium
Lineage: Bacteria
Description: partial 16S ribosomal RNA
Rfam family: Bacterial small subunit ribosomal RNA
Source: RNAcentral
AUUGAACGCUGGCGGCAGGCCUAACACAUGCAAGUCGAACGGUAACAGGAAGCAGCUUGCUGCUUCGCUGACGAGUGGCGGACGGGUGAGUAAUGUCUGGGAAGCUGCCUGAUGGAGGGGGAUAACUACUGGAAACGGUAGCUAAUACCGCAUAAUGUCGCAAGACCAAAGAGGGGGACCUUCAGGCCUCUUGCCAUCGGAUGUGCCCAGAUGGGAUUAGCUUGUUGGUGGGGUAACGGCUCACCAAGGCGACGAUCCCUAGCUGGUCUGAGAGGAUGACCAGCCACACUGGGACUGAGACACGGUCCAGACUCCUACGGGAGGCAGCAGUGGGGAAUAUUGCACAAUGGGCGCAAGCCUGAUGCAGCCAUGCCGCGUGUAUGAAGAAGGCCUUCGGGUUGUAAAGUACUUUCAGCGGGGAGGAAGGGAGUAAAGUUAAUACCUUUGCUCAUUGACGUUACCCGCAGAAGAAGCACCGGCUAACUCCGUG